CCUACGUGAGUCAGCAGUGAGGAAUAUUGGUCAAUGGCCGCGAGGCUGAACCAGCCAAGUCGCGUGAGGGAAGACUGUCCUAUGGAUUGUAAACCUCUUUUGUCAGGGAGCAACAUCACCCAAGUGUGGGUGUUGGAGAGUACCCGAAGAAAAAGCAUCGGCUAACUCCGUGCCAGCAGCCGCGGUAAUACGGAGGAUGCGAGUGUUAUCCGGAUUUAUUGGGUUUAAAGGGUGCGUAGGCGGUUGAUCAAGUCAGUGGUAAUAUUGUGGAGCUCAACUGCAUCGAGCCGUUGAAACUGAUGAUCUUGAGUGGGCGAGAAGUAUGCGGAAUGCGUGGUGUAGCGGUGAAAUGCAUAGAUAUCACGAAGAACUCCGAGUGCGAAGGCAGCAUACCGGCGCUCAACUGACGCUGAUGCACGAAAGUGUGGGUAUCGAACAGGAUUAGAUACCCCGGUAGUC
RNAcentral lists this ribosomal RNA (459 nucleotides) under uncultured bacterium. Its description in RNAcentral is "partial 16S ribosomal RNA". It matches the Rfam family "Bacterial small subunit ribosomal RNA", at positions 338 to 795 of the family's 1533-position model. The record is from RNAcentral.